This 497-nucleotide ribosomal RNA is filed under the name uncultured bacterium. RNAcentral describes it as "partial 16S ribosomal RNA". It matches the Rfam family "Bacterial small subunit ribosomal RNA", at positions 28 to 507 of the family's 1533-position model. The record is from RNAcentral.
GAUGAACGCUGGCUGCGUUCCUAAUACAUGCAAGUCGAGCGAACGGACGAGAAGCUUGCUUCUCUGAUGUUAGCGGCUGACGGGGUAGUAACACGUGGAUAACCUACCUAUAAGACUGGGAUAACUUCGGGAAACCGGUGCUAAUACCGGAUAAUAUUUUGAACCGCAUGGUUCAAAAGUGAAAGACGGUCUUGCUGUCACUUAUAGAUGGGUCCGCGCUGCAUUAGCUAGUUGGUAAGGUAACGGCUUACCAAGGCAACGAUGCAUAGCCGACCUGAGAGGGUGAUCGGCCACACUGGAACUGAGACACGGUCCAGACUCCUACGGGAGGCAGCAGUAGGGAAUCUUCCGCAAUGGGCGAAAGCCUGACGGAGCAACGCCGCGUGAGUGAUGAAGGUCUUCGGAUCGUAAAACUCUGUUAUUAGGGAAGAACAUAUGUGUAAGUAACUGUGCACAUCUUGACGGUACCUAAUCAGAGAGCCACGGCUAACUACGUG